This is a non-coding RNA of Labeo rohita (rohu), 450 nucleotides long. The record is from the annotation of a RefSeq genome assembly. NCBI's taxonomy places the organism in Eukaryota, Metazoa, Chordata, Actinopteri, Cypriniformes, Cyprinidae.
AUGUUUCUGUGCAGUCUGCUUCUGCUGUCAAUAAUACAGGAUGAAUCGAUUGCACAGACAAUAACACCACUGCAGAGCAGAGCACAAGUUACUGAGGGGAUGUUAGUCAAUCUGUCUCGCAAAUAUGAUGUCACUGCACAGAGUUUACUUUGGUACCGACAAUAUCCCGGAUCAGGACUGGAAUUUCUGUUCCUUGUCGUUGAGUCAUCCAAGAAGACUGCAGUAUAUGCAGAUCCCCCAAUUCCUGGACUGGAUGGUGAAAUGAUAUUGAAAGACAAGCGAGUGGAUCUGGUGAUCUCCUCUGCUGAAGUGUCAGACUCCGCUGUGUACUACUGUGCCAUGGUGCCCACAAUGACAGAAAACAUGACAACACUGUACAAAAACCUCCAACCAUACUCCAUGUGCAAUAAACAAAUGGUGUUCAUAGAAAGUAUCAAGACACAUUUCUAG